Nerophis lumbriciformis (worm pipefish) is the source of this 5916-nucleotide non-coding RNA. The record is from RefSeq and is a predicted model, not a curated record. Lineage: Eukaryota; Metazoa; Chordata; Actinopteri; Syngnathiformes; Syngnathidae.
AGGCUCCAGCGCCCCCCGCGACCCCAAAGGGAAUAAGCGGUAGAAAAUGGAUGGAUGGAUGGAUGCACACACCCCCACAUAAGCCGCUCAGCCGCCUCUCGUGCCUGUCAAACAACAAAGAGGGCAUAGUCGUGUCGCGUAUUCCAUCCUCGUACCUAAACACAUUGUUGGAAGCCGCUUGAUAACGCCUGUGCAUCACCAGUUGGAUAAUAUUCCGAUUACUCAAAAGGAUCGAUUGAGUAGCGACUACUUUCAUCGUUAUUAGUUUCCGCUGGAUGGUCACAGCUGAGCUGUGGUCACCAUGACGACAGACGAAGUAGAGAGUCACCAGCAGAAGCCAAGACAGCAGGAGGAGGCUGGCCAGGAAGCAAAGCCAUCCACUCCAGAAGAGGAGAACCUCCGACCUGGCGUCCGCAACUCUGCUGGCCGUGGCCUCUCCCGCCUCUUCUCGUCCUUCUUGAAAAGACGUUCGCAAUGCGAGAGUGAGGGAGGGGAGAAGGGGGAAAAGGAGAAAGAAGAAGCUAAAGCUCCCAUUGCUGACCCAGAGCCUGAGUUGAAGAUAGAGGGAGAGGUGGCCCCCGACCAGCACUCACUUAGCAGUGCUGAGGCCCAGGCUGCACAGGUAGAGAAAAAAAUCCCUGAAGAAGAGGGGAAGGAGGAGGGUGGGAAAGACCACGAGCUCGACAAGGAGAAACCAGAGGUCUCCACGCUGGAGAAAGAAGACGAUAACAAGAAGGAGGAGGAGGAGACGGACAAGGCAAAGGAAGGUGGCUCUGAGCGCGGCAGUAACGGAGAAAAAGAGGAGAAGGCCACAGAAGAGGAGCCUAAAACUCCCAAAGCUCCACGUCGCCCCAAAACCAUGCAGAUUAAAGUCACACUGCUGGACGACGCCCUGUAUGAGUGUGAGCUGGAUAAACAUGCCAAAGGACAGGAGCUAUUCACAAAAGUAUCAGACCACCUCAAUCUGCUGGAGAGAGACUACUAUGGUCUGGGCAUCCCCCAGAUGACCAAUGUAAAGACUUGGCUGGACCUGACCAAGGAGAUCCGCAGGCAGGUGCAAGGUGCCAACUAUAAUUUCACAUUCAAUGUGAAAUUCUAUCCACCAGAUCCAGCUCAACUGUCUGAGGACAUCACAAGGUACUACCUGUGUCUGCAGCUGCGUAAAGACAUCUUGCAAGGGCGUCUGCCCUGCUCCUUCGUCACCUUGGCCCUGCUUGGCUCCUACGCACUGCAGUCAGAACUGGGCGAGUAUGACCCCGAGGUGCAUGGCAGUGACUAUACUAAAGAGAUGAAGAUGGCCAAUGGACAGACAAAGGAGCUUGAAGACAAAAUGAUGGAACUUCACCGCACUUACAGGUCAAUGAGUCCAGCUCAGGCCGAUAUGAUGUUCCUUGAGAAUGCAAAGAAGCUGUCCAUGUAUGGAGUUGACCUCCACCAGGCGAAGGAUCUAGAUGGUGUUGACAUCAUGCUGGGAGUUUGUUCCAAUGGGCUUCUGGUUUAUAAGGACAAAUUGAGGAUCAACCGUUUUCCCUGGCCCAAAGUCCUGAAGGUGUCAUACAAGCGCAGCAGCUUCUUUAUCAAAAUACGUCCAUCAGAGGUUGAACAGUAUGAGAGCGCCAUUGGCUUUAAACUUCCAAAUUACAAAGCAGCCAAAAAACUGUGGAAAGUGUGUGUAGAACAUCACACCUUUUUCAGACUGACAUCUACUGAAAUGGUCACCACUCCCAGGAAGUUCUUGGCGUUGGGCUCCAAAUUUCGCUACAGUGGUCGAACUCAGGCUCAGACCAAACAAGCCAGCUCUCUUAUCGACAGACCUGCUCCUCUUUUCCAGCGGUCAUCCAGCAAGAGGAAUUCUCGCAGCAUGGAUGGAGCCAUGGCGUCCACUCCGGACAACAAAUCAAGCCGCCCAGUGAGUGCGCCCAUCAUGUCGCCUGUGUCUCCUGGGGACAACACGCCAUCCCCGCUGCUACACAACCUUCAUCUCGCCACGUGCAGCAACAGUUCAACACCUAAGUUCCGACGCUCUGUAGAAAGGAAAGCCGAACUCAAAGGCUCCACCAAAAGUCGGAGCCCCAAACCUGAGUCCACUCCAGAAAUCAGGACAUUGGCCAGAAGAGAACGGAGGCAUUCCCCCUCUGUGACCAAGACCAACGGGGAACGAGAGAAAAAGAGCCAGCAUUCUCCUCAGGACAAAACAAAGAUGGAGAUGAUGCGAGUGAGGAAGAAACGAGCUAAGAAACUUGAGGGUGAAACUAUUUAUAUCAGACAUAGCAAUUUAAUGUUGGAGCUUCAUCCCAAAGGCUUGCAAUGCACCAUUUUCCUCUCUGACUCUGAUGACGUGGAUAAGACCCAAACAGAGAUCAUGCGUCACCACACAAGUAUCAGUGAGCUGAAGAGGAGUUUCAUGGAGUCGGGUCCUGAACCUCAACCCAGCGAGUGGGACAAGCGCCUUUCCACCAACUCGCCUUUCCGCACAGCAAACAUCAAUGGCCAAAUACAGCCAGCGUCUCCAUUGUUGAAGACCCAGACAAUCACCAUCUCAGAUGUCACCAAUUCUCUCCGAGGAACUGUGGCCUACAAGGACAUUCCCUUAGUUCACACCGAGACCAAGACCAUUACGUACGAGUCAGCGCAGGUUUCUUUCCCACAGCCGGUGGACACCUUGGCAGACCGGGACUCAGGAGUGCUACUGAGUGCCCAAACCAUCACAUCCGAGACCAUCAGCACCACCACCACUACCCAGAUCACCAAGACUGUCAAAGGAGGAAUCUCUGAAACUCGCAUAGAGAAGAGGAUCGUCAUAACUGGAGACACUGAAAUUGAUCAUGAUAAGGCUCUGGCUCAGGCUAUUAAAGAAGCAAAAGAACAACACCCAGAUAUGUCAGUCACCAAAGUGGUUGUCCACCAAGAAACGGAGAUUUCUCCCGAGUAAGACAAGGCCAUUCUCUGUAAGGAAAUCCACGCAUCUCUUAAUACAUGAGGCCCCAACGCACAAAACCACACUGUGGAGGGAGAUGUGGCCAGCGCUGCCUGCAGGAGCAAAGGUCACCGCCUCUGUCCAUGGUGCUGAGGACAGAGCACCAUCAGACGGGGGCGUGGCAGUGCUGGCGGCGAGACACAGCAGGCAGCGGACGGGAGCAGGAGGGGAGAGAGGAUACGGACGUGACUGAAAAGUCACGUUCUACUGGAGAGAAAACUUUUGUUGAACACAUGCUUAUUAAAAAACCCUGUUAAAACCUGCACGCUGGGCUCCGGUGCCGUGUCUGACAGUGGGACUGCGAGGAAGCAACUUGCACACACACUUAUCACAUGCUUAAGCAAACAACAGAGAAGUUGUGAUGCUAAUUUUAGGGGACUGCUGCUCAGUGGACAAUUAUCGAAUUGUCAAUUUAAAAAAAAAAAAAUUUUUAAGUAAUUUUGUCUUUAAAAAUACUUUUCCAAAGGCGCCUUCUGAAAAUGAGGCGUUGUGUGAUGACAGUUUGAACUUUUUUUAUUUUCUUGCGUUCUGUACCAUUUCGGGUCCUGGUGCUCUUAUUGUGGUUCUACUUCCUGUUAGACCCCUGGUUUUGUUGCACCUUCCCUAUCAGUUUAGUUUUCUUCGCGCACACCUGUUUUCUCUUUCUAAUUAAGUCUAUUUAGGUUCACCUGUUGCUCUUUGCCAGGGUUGGAUUAUCGCCCUUUGUUAGUGUGUACGAGUACCUAUGCUGCACUAGCCUUUUGUUUCUGCUGUUUUGUGCUAACUUGGUUAAUAUUUUUUGACUACUCACUGCAGACUUCAUGAGAGCCGACAAACAUAAUAAAACAUCACUUACUGUACUAAGUCUGCUGUCUUUAUGAUGCCGACUGCAAGGAUGUUCAUAUAUCCCUGUUUAGGUGAAAACAAAGGGCUCGAACAAAGCGUCUUUUCGUGUCAUUCUCGCCAUUCCCGGGUCUAAAUUGGCUGUCAAAGUCGACCAAGUUGUCGGAAUACGUCCUCAUCCUUCUACUAUCCAGGUAAGAGACAUGAUUUAUUAACUACAAAAAACGUUCACUCGCAAAGGAUGCAAGGAAACGGCUGACUCGAUGACGUAAACAUAAGCACACAAGCUAGAAAUAGUUUGUCAGCGUUAGCGCUUAUAAUAACAAUAUCACUAAUACCGUAUUUUUCGGACUAUAAGUCGCAGUUUUUUUUCAUAGUUUGGCAGGGGAUGCGACUUGUGUGUGAAAUUAUUAACACAUUACCGUAAAAUAUCAAAUAAUAUUAUUUAGCUCAUUCACGUAAGAGACUAGACGUAUAAGAUUUCAUGGGAUUUAGCGAUUAGGAGUGACAGAUUGUUUGGUAAACGUAUAGCAUGUUCUAUAUGUUAUAGUUAUUUGAAUGACUCUUACCAUAAUAUGUUACGUUAACAUACCAGGCACGUUCUCAGUUGGUUAUUUAUGCGUCAUAUAACUUACACUUAUUCAGCCUGUUGUUCACUAUUCUUUAUUUUAAAUUGCCUUUCAAAUGUCUAUUCUUGGUGUUGGGUUUUAUCAAAUAAAUUUCCCCAAAAAUGCGACUUAUACUCCAGUGCGACUUAUAUGUUUUUUUCCUUCUUUAUUAUGCAUUUUCGGCCGGUGAGACUUAUACUCCGGAGCGACUUAUAGUCCGAAAAAUACGGUACUUGGUUAAUAUUCAGGUCACAAGAUGUAAAUGGAGUAUUUUUGGCGGUUUUUGGAUGUUUUUUCAUUGGGUUUUAUGGCCAGAAUAGAGGACCUCCCAAGCGGACUUUCAUUUACGAGUUAGAAUGCAUUGAAAGAAAUACAACAAUACAUCCGUCAUGUCUUUCAUAACGACUGUGAACGAUAGGAAAACUUCCAAAAAAAGUGCAGUACCCUUUUAAGGGCUAUCAACACGCUCUAAUUCAGUUUAUGCUGACAGGUUAUGCCUGGGUCUUUCCACUCUGUUAAAAAAGAUUUAUCCGGUAAAUGUUUGGAUAACGUGGGAGUUUAUGUGAGCCCCCACUAAGAAAUAGCCUUGAUGUGUUUGACUCUUAGUGCGUUCAGUAGUCAGUGCACGUAGGUGAGCAGAGCUUGAAAGCAUGAGCUCACCGCCAAGAUCAACGCAAGAAUCCUUAGCGUCCUAUAAAACAAAUUCAAUACCCAAAAGGUCAUAAAAAUGAUCUCGGUCAAAAUCCAACUCUUCACCUUUCUGACAGGAAAAAUAUGGAAGGAAAAAAAGCAAUAUGCAUGGGAAAUGAAGUCAACGUUUUGCUGCGCCAGCAUUCUCUUAGUGAUGUAAUCAUUUUAGUCCUCUGUGUAGCUGUAAUGAGAUGAUCCUUAUAUAAUGCAGCAGGCCACUAAACAUAUCAACGACUUUUUGGACAAAGGGUUUUAAUGUACCGUAUUUUCCGGACUAGAUAUGUCCGAUAAUGGCUUUUUGCCGAUAUCCGAUAUUCCGAUAUUGUCCAACUCUUUAAUUACCAAUACCGAUAUCAACUGAUACAUACAGUCGUGGAAUUUACACAUUAUUAUGCCUAAUUUGGACAACCGGGUAUGGUGAAGAUAAGGUACUUUUAAAAAAAUUUAUAAAAUAAAAUAAGAUAAAUAAAUUAAAAACAUUUUCUUGAAUAAAAAAGAAAGUAAAACAAUAUAAAAACAGUUACAUAGAAAUUAGUAAUUAAUGAAAAUGAGUCAAAUUAACUGUUAAAGGUUAGUACUAUUAGUGGAUCAGCAGCACGCACAAUCAUGUGUGCUUACGGACUGUAUCCCUUGCAGACUGUAUUGAUCUAUAUUGAUAUAUAAUGUAGCAACCAGAAUAUUAAUAACAGAAAGAAACAACCCUUUUGUGUGAAUGAGUGUAAAUGGGGGAGGGAGGUUUUUUGGGUUGGUGCACUAAUUGUAAGUGUAUCUUGUGUUUUUUAUGUUGAUUUAAUUAAAAAAAAAAAAAAAAAAAAAAAA